GGAAGUAAAAGUCGUAACAAGGUUUCUGUAGGUGAACCUGCAGAAGGAUCAUUAGUGAAAGCAAGGGCCAGCCAUACGGACGGCGCUACUCGCGUACAACGUCUCUGGCGCCCAACUUUACACAAUAUCCACAAACCCGUGUGCACCGUUUGGAUGAGUUGGACCUCGCAAGAGGCUCGGCUCUCCAAUCCAUUUCUACCAAACUCGUAUGGUUUGUAUGAACGUGGAAAUCGUUGGACCGUAACUGGCCAACAACCAAUAAUACAACUUUCGACAACGGAUCUCUUGGUUCUCCCAUCGAUGAAGAACGCAGCGAAACGCGAUAGGUAAUGUGAAUUGCAGAAUUCCGUGAAUCAUCGAAUCUUUGAACGCACCUUGCGCUCCAUGGUAUUCCGUGGAGCAUGCCUGUUUGAGUGCCGUGAAUUCUCUCUCCCCAAGCGGUUGCGAUUGCACUGCUUUGGCGGACGAGGUUGGAUGGGUGCUUCUGCCUGUUUCGCAAGAAACAGGCUCGCCCGAAAUGCAUUAGCGCCUUUGGGACACACUCUGCAAACCGCUCUGAAAGGGAGGGCGGCAGAGGGGAUGGAGGAACUCCGCCCGUCAGCUAUACCAAACUUUGCCCCAGGCAAGCGCAUGGCAUGAUACGUCAUUUGCUGUGUGUGCGUCCUGAGGCAAGGGGCCGAUGUGGUGCCUUUGUCACUCUGUGGGUGUGUUGGUGCGCUACCAAUCCUGCGUGGAGGCUGGUCUGUGCGCAAGCAUGGAGCAGUUCUUGUGAACGCAUUCCCUUUUUUCAUUUCUGGUCUCAAAUCAGGUAGGAUCACCCGCUGAACUUAAGCAUAUCAUUAAGCGGAGGA
This 851-nucleotide ribosomal RNA is filed under the name Malassezia furfur. RNAcentral's name for it is "eukaryotic LSU rRNA". The stretch from base 266 to 419 matches the Rfam family "5.8S ribosomal RNA". The record is from RNAcentral. Lineage: Eukaryota; Fungi; Basidiomycota; Malasseziomycetes; Malasseziales; Malasseziaceae.